AACAAGGCUUCGUGCAGGUCACAAGCUCAAGUGCUCAGAACAUCACAUGGCAGGUCGCUGAUGGUGCUAAGACUCUCUUCGCUUGUGCCCAGGCCACCGUGGACGCUGCCAAACUGAUGUUCAAGUUCAAUGGCGUGUCCUGCAUGAUCGCCAUGAAUGGUUUCUAUAAUCCAUGGAAUGAUGCAUGCGAUGGUGAGGAGGUCUAUGUCGGCUAUGAUGGUACAAGUGGAUGCCUCACUCUUUUUGGCGGGUUUUUGGAUGGCCAAAACAUAACGAAUG
Hyalella azteca is the source of this 279-nucleotide long non-coding RNA. RefSeq lists it as uncharacterized. The record is from RefSeq and is a predicted model, not a curated record. The transcript is spliced from 3 exons. Lineage: Eukaryota; Metazoa; Arthropoda; Malacostraca; Amphipoda; Hyalellidae.